This 299-nucleotide ribosomal RNA is filed under the name Salmonella enterica subsp. enterica serovar Typhimurium var. Copenhagen str. 0084. RNAcentral describes it as "partial 23S ribosomal RNA". It matches the Rfam family "Bacterial large subunit ribosomal RNA", at positions 1 to 291 of the family's 2925-position model. The record is from RNAcentral. Lineage: Bacteria; Pseudomonadati; Pseudomonadota; Gammaproteobacteria; Enterobacterales; Enterobacteriaceae.
GGGUUGUGAGGUUAAGCGACUAAGCGUACACGGUGGAUGCCCUGGCAGUCAGAGGCGAUGAAGGACGUGCUAAUCUGCGAUAAGCGCCGGUAAGGUGAUAUGAACCGUUAUAACCGGCGAUUUCCGAAUGGGGAAACCCAGUGUGAUUCGUCACACUAUCAUUAACUGAAUCCAUAGGUUAAUGAGGCGAACCGGGGGAACUGAAACAUCUAAGUACCCCGAGGAAAAGAAAUCAACCGAGAUUCCCCCAGUAGCGGCGAGCGAACGGGGAGGAGCCCAGAGCCUGAAUCAGCAUGUGU